GCCCCCAUAGCUCAAUGGAUAGAGCAGCGCUCUUCUAAGGCGAGGAUCUGGGUUCGACUCCUAGUGGGGGCACCA
RNAcentral lists this transfer RNA (75 nucleotides) under Candidatus Kaiserbacteria bacterium CG10_big_fil_rev_8_21_14_0_10_59_10. Its description in RNAcentral is "tRNA-Arg". It matches the Rfam family "tRNA". From Rfam's summary of the family: Transfer RNA (tRNA) molecules are approximately 80 nucleotides in length. Their secondary structure includes four short double-helical elements and three loops (D, anti-codon, and T loops). Lineage: Bacteria; Candidatus Kaiseribacteriota. The record is from RNAcentral.